UACGGGGGGAGCAAGCGUUGUUCGGAUUUACUGGGCGUAAAGGGCGCGUAGGCGGUCGUGACAAGUCACUUGUGAAAUCUCCGGGCUUAACUCGGAACGGUCAAGUGAUACUGUCGGACUAGAGUACAGAAGGGGCAACUGGAAUUCUCGGUGUAGCGGUGAAAUGCGUAGAUAUCGAGAGGAACACCUGCGGCGAAGGCGGGUUGCUGGGCUGAUACUGACGCUGAGGCGCGAAAGCCAGGGGAGCGAACGGGAUUAGAACCGUACCGCGAGAC
Molecule: ribosomal RNA, 275 nt
Filed under: uncultured bacterium
Lineage: Bacteria
Description: partial 16S ribosomal RNA
Rfam family: Bacterial small subunit ribosomal RNA
Source: RNAcentral